AUUGAACGCUGGCGGCAGGCCUAACACAUGCAAGUCGAGCGGAUGAAGGGAGCUUGCUCCUGGAUUCAGCGGCGGACGGGUGAGUAAUGCCUAGGAAUCUGCCUGGUAGUGGGGGAUAACGUCCGGAAACGGGCGCUAAUACCGCAUCCGUCCUGAGGGAGAAAGAGGGGGAUCUUCGGACCUCACGCUAUCAGAUGAGCCUAGGUCGGAUUAGCUAGUUGGUGGGGUAAAGGCCUACCAAGGCGACGAUCCGUAACUGGUCUGAGAGGAUGAUCAGUCACACUGGAACUGAGACACGGUCCAGACUCCUACGGGAGGCAGCAGUGGGGAAUAUUGGACAAUGGGCGAAAGCCUGAUCCAGCCAUGCCGCGUGUGUGAAGAAGGUCUUCGGAUUGUAAAGCACUUUAAGUUGGGAGGAAGGGCAGUAAGUUAAUACCUUGCUGUUUUGACGUUACCAACAGAAUAAGCACCGGCUAACUUCGUG
RNAcentral lists this ribosomal RNA (484 nucleotides) under uncultured bacterium. RNAcentral describes it as "partial 16S ribosomal RNA". It matches the Rfam family "Bacterial small subunit ribosomal RNA", at positions 30 to 507 of the family's 1533-position model. The record is from RNAcentral.